This 75-nucleotide transfer RNA is filed under the name Nitrospirota bacterium. RNAcentral's name for it is "Nitrospirae bacterium (sediment metagenome) tRNA-Gly". It matches the Rfam family "tRNA". From Rfam's summary of the family: Transfer RNA (tRNA) molecules are approximately 80 nucleotides in length. Their secondary structure includes four short double-helical elements and three loops (D, anti-codon, and T loops). The record is from RNAcentral. Lineage: Bacteria; Pseudomonadati; Nitrospirota. RNAcentral also lists the same sequence under 2 other names.
GCGGGCGUAGCUCAGUGGUAGAGCACAACCUUGCCAAGGUUGGGGUCGCGAGUUCGAGUCUCGUUGCCCGCUCCA